RNAcentral lists this transfer RNA (77 nucleotides) under Photobacterium damselae subsp. piscicida. Its description in RNAcentral is "tRNA-Ile". It matches the Rfam family "tRNA". From Rfam's summary of the family: Transfer RNA (tRNA) molecules are approximately 80 nucleotides in length. Their secondary structure includes four short double-helical elements and three loops (D, anti-codon, and T loops). Lineage: Bacteria; Pseudomonadati; Pseudomonadota; Gammaproteobacteria; Vibrionales; Vibrionaceae. The record is from RNAcentral.
GGGUCUGUAGCUCAGGUGGUUAGAGCGCACCCCUGAUAAGGGUGAGGUCGGUGGUUCGAGUCCACUCAUACCCACCA